RNAcentral lists this ribosomal RNA (407 nucleotides) under Hepatozoon felis. Its description in RNAcentral is "SSU rRNA". It matches the Rfam family "Eukaryotic small subunit ribosomal RNA", at positions 448 to 848 of the family's 1831-position model. The record is from RNAcentral. Lineage: Eukaryota; Apicomplexa; Hepatozoidae.
AUUCUAACAGCAUAAGAGAGGUAGUGACAAGAAAUAACAAUACAAGGCAGUUAAAAUGCUUUGUAAUUGGAAUGAUAGAAAUUUAAACACUUUUUAAAGUAUCAAUUGGAGGGCAAGUCUGGUGCCAGCAGCCGCGGUAAUUCCAGCUCCAAUAGCGUAUAUUAAAAUUGUUGCAGUUAAAAAGCUCGUAGUUGAAUUUCUGCUAAAAAUAACCGGUCUGCUUUUAAUAAAGGUGGUAUCUUGGUGUGUUUUUAGCAAUAAUGUCCUUUGAAAUGUUUUUUACUUCAUUGUAAUAAAUUAUAUUUAGGAUUUUUACUUUGAGAAAAUUAGAGUGUUUCUAGCAGGCUAAUGCUUUGAAUACUGCAGCAUGGAAUAAUAAAAUAGGAUUUUGGUUCUACAUUAUUGGU